GGGAUGCCAGGUCGCCGUCGCCAUCACCUGCGUGCUCUCCUUAUCCGUACGGGUACGGGUAUGGCGCCGCCGCCGGCGGCCGGUGUCCUUCUCCUUCCCCUUCCCAUCCACCACACCCAGCCUCCUCGAUCUGCAACAUCCUGCUCCCCCUGCAUGCACGAGGGAUCUCGGGCCGCCGUCACCCUUCGGGAGCUCCCUCUCCUCCCCGCCUUCUUUCCGUGGCUCUGCAGACGCAAGGGAUCUCGGGUCGCCGUCGCCCUUCGAGAGCUCCCUCUCCUCCACGCCUUCUUUCCAUGGCGCGAGGGACCAAGCGCCAUGUACAGACUUACAUACGUGCUGCUGGCCACUGCCCUGUAACCCCGCCGCCAGCAGGGUCGUCCAUGACCAGGGCCCCCAAGCUAAGGAGUGACAUGCUGCUGCCGUGCCCACCACCAUCUGUGAGACUUGGAAAUCUAGGAAGCUGCAGUACAACAGAAGACUAUCCAAUUGGAGGAUCCACAUCAUUUAUGGGAGCAAGAGAUCCAAAACUGGUAGAUACAUGCACUAAUUCUAUUCAGAUAGGAGAAGGGGCACAAUGUGAGGGAGGCGGUCGCCGGCGGUGGCGGCUCCGGUGACCGGCCAGCAGGCAGGGAGACGAGCUCCUGUUGAGGCGGCGGGGCUCGGUGCGGGCUGGUUCCUCUGGAUCGAGCCUUGGCUCUCCCGAGGUGUGUGGUUGCGGGCGUCUGAUGAGUUGGUUUGGCGCCCCCUUACUCAGAUCUGCACGUCCCUGAUGAUCGGAGGUUUGCCUUUCACAUGUUCAUUGAGUUGCUUGAUGACAUAAAAAAAAUUGAAAUAUGGAGUUAUGCAAUUGCAGCAAUAAGGACGGAUGGCCAGCUUCACAGGUUAAGCUCCGUACUGUAAUUUGCAUUCAGUUAUGUGCAGUAAUAAUGCCAUAUUUGUUAGUAGCCUGCUAGCUGUUUCCAGAUUUUUUAGUCAUGAUUGGCUUCUACACAAAAGGAGUUUGUCGAAAACAAGAGCAAUCCCAUUGUUGCUACACAGCCUGAAGAUUCUUUGCCUUUCUUUGAACUGUUUCAGGUUUUUUCUCUCAUAGUUAUAAUCAAAUAUUCAGAUAGAAUCAUAUGGGUGGUCGUGCCAUGUCCACAGGAGCGACUUACAUCAAGCAUUAGGCCUGGUUUUAAUCUUCUUGGUCACAUAUCAGAUGAGUAUAACAGUGUCCCAUCUUUUUGAUCAUGAGCUACCUUUCCCAGAACAGCCUGUCAUAUACUCAGAUUAGUAGCAGUGAAAUAAUGUAACGAAUAUCACGAGAGUGCUUGCAGUUUGUUAAUAUUCAAAUAAAAGGGAAAGCAACCUUUUCCCAGCUAACAGCAGGA
Molecule: long non-coding RNA, 1370 nt
Organism: Aegilops tauschii subsp. strangulata
Lineage: Eukaryota; Viridiplantae; Streptophyta; Magnoliopsida; Poales; Poaceae
Source: RefSeq, a predicted model, not a curated record